Dama dama (fallow deer) is the source of this 1196-nucleotide long non-coding RNA. RefSeq lists it as uncharacterized. The transcript has 4 exons. NCBI's taxonomy places the organism in Eukaryota, Metazoa, Chordata, Mammalia, Artiodactyla, Cervidae. The record is from RefSeq and is a predicted model, not a curated record.
GAGGGAGAAAGGGCUGGAUAUUUAUUCCUCCUGCUUUUUCAUGACUUGGCCUGAUUAGGGCUGCAUCUGUAUCCCUUUGUGACUUCGACCUCCCUCAAACAGCCCCUCUGCAUGGUGCUAACUCUGAACCAAGCUCUGAUUGCCAGUCCAGGUUCGAUGCAUGAAGCAGAAUGCUCAGGUGUGGUGCUAAUGUGCAGUGGACACUGGAGCCGGGGGUUGAGCGGUGAAUGCCAGUAUGCGGGAUGACAUCAGCAGGCCCUUCAGGGUGGAAUUCUGGUGAGACAAGAGUACAUCAUGAAAAAUUGUAGACUGGAUGAAGCACAAGCUGGAAUCAAGAUUGCCAGGAGAAAUAUCAAUAACCUCAGAUAUGCAGAUGACACCACCCUCAUGGCAGAAAGCGAAGAAGAACUAAAGAGCCUCUUGAUGAAAAUGAAAGAGGAGAGUGAAGAGGUUGGCUUAAAACUCAACAUUCAGAAAACUAAGAUCAUGGCAUCUGGUCCCAUCACUUCAUGGCAAAUAGAUGGGGAAACAGUGGAAACGGUGGCUGACUUUAUUUUUUUGGGCUCCAAAAUCACUGAAGAUGGUGACUGCAGCCAUGAAACUAGAAAAUGAUUGCUCCUUGGAAGGAAAGUUAUGAUCAACCUAGACAGCAUAUUAAAAAGCAGAGACAUUACUUUGCCAACAAAGGUCCAUCUAGUCAAGACUAUGGUUUUUCCAGUAGUCAUGUAUGGAUGUGAGAGUUGGACUAGCUUUCUUUGCUGAGUGCUGAAGAAUUGAUGCUUUUGAACUGUGGUGUUGGAGGAGACUCUUGAGAGUCCGUUGGACUGCAAGAAGAUCAAACCAGUCCAUCCUAAAGGAGAUUAGUCCUGAGUGUUCAUUGGAAGGACUGAUGUUGGAGCUGAAACUCCAAUACUUUGGCCACCUUAUGUGAAGAGCUGACUCAUUUGAAAAGACCCUGAUGCUGGGAAAGAUUGAGGGCGGGAGGAGAAGGGGACGACAGAGGAUGAGACGGUUGGAUGGAAUCACCAACUCAAUGGACAUGAGUUUGGGUAAACUCCGGGAGUUGGUGAUGGACAGGGAGGUGUGGUGUGCUGCAGUUCAUGGGGUCGCAAAGAGUCUGAGCGACUGAACUGACUGACUGAUCUUUAUUUGGAGCAUAGUACUUAUUCCGAAUAAAAUCAAUGAAGAAAUUUCAA